UACGAAGGGGGCUAGCGUUGCUCGGAAUCACUGGGCGUAAAGCGCACGUAGGCGGGUUGGUAAGUCAGGGGUGAAAUCCUGGAGCUCAACUCCAGAACUGCCUUUGAUACUGGCGAUCUCGAGUCCGGGAGAGGUGAGUGGAACUGCGAGUGUAGAGGUGAAAUUCGUAGAUAUUCGCAAGAACACCAGUGGCGAAGGCGGCUCACUGGCCCGGUACUGACGCUGAGGUGCGAAAGCGUGGGGAGCAAACAGG
This 253-nucleotide ribosomal RNA is filed under the name uncultured bacterium. RNAcentral describes it as "partial 16S ribosomal RNA". It matches the Rfam family "Bacterial small subunit ribosomal RNA", at positions 524 to 776 of the family's 1533-position model. The record is from RNAcentral.